Molecule: ribosomal RNA, 277 nt
Filed under: uncultured bacterium
Lineage: Bacteria
Description: partial 16S ribosomal RNA
Rfam family: Bacterial small subunit ribosomal RNA
Source: RNAcentral
GACGAACGCUGGCGGCGUGCUUAACACAUGCAAGUCGAGCGGUAAGGCCCUUUCGGGGGUACACGAGCGGCGAACGGGUGAGUAACACGUGGGUGACCUGCCCUCAGCUCUGGGAUAAGCCUGGGAAACCGGGUCUAAUACUGGAUAUGACUCCAUGACGCAUGUUGUGGGGUGGAAAGCCUUGUGCGGCUGAGGAUGGGCCCGCGGCCUAUCAGCUUGUUGGUGGGGUGAGNGGCCUACCAAGGCGACGACGGGUAGCCGGCCUGAGAGGGCGACC